Molecule: ribosomal RNA, 482 nt
Filed under: Thalassionema frauenfeldii
Lineage: Eukaryota; Bacillariophyta; Fragilariophyceae; Thalassionematales; Thalassionemataceae
Description: partial Bacterial small subunit ribosomal RNA
Rfam family: Bacterial small subunit ribosomal RNA
Source: RNAcentral
UAAGAGAGUUUGAUCCUGGCUCAGGAUGAACGCUAGCGGGAGGCUUAAUACAUGCAAGUCGAGGGAGUUUUUCGGAACGACCGGCGAACGGGUGAGUAACGCGUACACUACCUACCUUACACAGGGGAAUAGCCUUUGGAAACGAAGAUUAAUGCCCCAUAGUACCGAGAGGUUAAAGCGUUAGCGGUGUAAGAUGGGUGUGCGUGCCAUUAGAUAGUUGGUGAGGUAACGGCUCACCAAGUCGACGAUGGCUAAGGGGCGUGAGAGCGUGAACCCUCACACGGGUACUGAGACACGGACCCGACUCCUACGGGAGGCAGCAGUAAGGAAUAUUGGUCAAUGGACGGAAGUCUGAACCAGCCAUCCCGCGUGCAGGAUGACUGCCCUAUGGGUUGUAAACUGCUUUUGUAUGAGAAGAAACCUAUCUAUUUAUAGGUAGUUGACGGUAUCAUAAGAAUAAGCACCGGCUAACUCCGUGCCAG